Molecule: ribosomal RNA, 486 nt
Filed under: uncultured bacterium
Lineage: Bacteria
Description: bacterial SSU rRNA
Rfam family: Bacterial small subunit ribosomal RNA
Source: RNAcentral
GAUGAACGCUAGCGGCAGGCUUAACACAUGCAAGUCGAGGGGUAUAGUAGCAAUACUAGAGACCGGCGCACGGGUGCGUAACGCGUAUGCAAUCUACCUUUUACAGAGGGAUAGCCCAGAGAAAUUUGGAUUAAUACCUCAUAGCAUUGCGAAAUGGCAUCAUUUUGCAAUUAAAGUCACAACGGUAAAAGAUGAGCAUGCGUCCCAUUAGCUAGUUGGUAAGGUAACGGCUUACCAAGGCAACGAUGGGUAGGGGUCCUGAGAGGGAGAUCCCCCACACUGGUACUGAGACACGGACCAGACUCCUACGGGAGGCAGCAGUGAGGAAUAUUGGACAAUGGGCGCAAGCCUGAUCCAGCCAUGCCGCGUGCAGGAUGACGGUCCUAUGGAUUGUAAACUGCUUUUGUACGAGAAGAAACACUCCGACGUGUCGGAGCUUGACGGUACUGUAAGAAUAAGGAUCGGCUAACUCCGUGCCAGCAGCCG